RNAcentral lists this non-coding RNA (24 nucleotides) under Arabidopsis thaliana (thale cress). Lineage: Eukaryota; Viridiplantae; Streptophyta; Magnoliopsida; Brassicales; Brassicaceae. The record is from RNAcentral.
GACAUAAACCAAAAGAUAAAGCGU